AGAGUCUGGGAACUGGUGGCUAAG
Molecule: non-coding RNA, 24 nt
Filed under: Arabidopsis thaliana (thale cress)
Lineage: Eukaryota; Viridiplantae; Streptophyta; Magnoliopsida; Brassicales; Brassicaceae
Source: RNAcentral